CAGGAAGUGCAGAUUGACGUCAGGCUUGGGUGCCACUGACUGGCUAAAGUCAGCUGCCACUCUAAGCCAAUUGCUAGCUCCUGGUUAAAUUUUUUUUUACAUUUUUUAUGAAUGGGGAGUUACUGAUUGGCUUAGAGUGCCAGCUGACCGCUCUAGCCAAUCAGCGACACCCCUACCCAACAGCACUCUGUAGUUCCUG
Non-coding RNA from Pelobates cultripes (western spadefoot toad), 199 nucleotides. The record is from the annotation of a GenBank genome assembly. Lineage: Eukaryota; Metazoa; Chordata; Amphibia; Anura; Pelobatidae.